GUUGCUUCCACACCUGCACCCAAGGCUGAGCCUGCCAUCAUCCCUGCCACCCGGAACGAGCCCAUCGGGCUGAAGGCCUCCGACUUCCUGCCCGCCGUGAAGAUCCCCCAGCAGGCCGAGCUGGUGGACGAGGAUGCCAUGUCACAGAUCCGCAAAGGCCAUGACACCAUGUGUGUGGUGCUCACCAGCCGCCACAAGAACCUGGACACCGUGCGGGCUGUGUGGACCACGGGCGACAUCAAGACGUCGGUGGACUCUGCUGUGGCCAUCAACGACCUGUCGGUGGUGGUGGACCUCCUGAACAUCGUCAACCAGAAAGCGUAAGUGGCUGCAGAGGGGGAGUGGGCGGAGGGGCAGGGCUGGGCUGAUGGCAGCAUGUCCUGGCCUCUCCUAGCUCCCUGUGGAAGCUGGACCUGUGCACCACGGUCCUGCCACAGAUUGAGAAGCUUCUGCAGAGCAAGUAUGAGAGCUACGUCCAGACGGGCUGCACCUCCCUGAAGCUGAUCCUGCAGCGGUUUCUGCCCCUCAUCACAGACAUGCUGGCAGCCCCACCCUCCGUGGGUGUGGAUAUCAGCAGGGAGGAGAGGCUGCACAAGUGCCGGCUCUGCUACAAGCAGCUCAAGAGCAUCAGCGGCCUGGUCAAGAGCAAGUCAGGCCUGAGCGGCCGC
RNAcentral lists this small RNA (668 nucleotides) under Pongo abelii (Sumatran orangutan). RNAcentral describes it as "retained intron". Lineage: Eukaryota; Metazoa; Chordata; Mammalia; Primates; Hominidae. The record is from RNAcentral.